RNAcentral lists this ribosomal RNA (254 nucleotides) under uncultured bacterium. RNAcentral describes it as "partial 16S ribosomal RNA". It matches the Rfam family "Bacterial small subunit ribosomal RNA", at positions 524 to 776 of the family's 1533-position model. The record is from RNAcentral.
UACGUAGGGAGCAAGCGUUUGUCCGGAAUCAUUGGGCGUAAAGCGCGCGUAGGCGGCCCGGUAAGUCCGUUGUAAAAGUCAAAGGCUCAACCUUUGAAAGCCGAUGGAUACUGCCGGGCUAGAGUCCGGAAGAGGCGAGUGGAAUUCCUGGUGUAGCGGUGAAAUGCGCAGAUAUCAGGAGGAACACCGAUGGCGAAGGCAGCUCGCUGGGACGGUACUGACGCUGAGGCGCGAAAGCGUGGGGAGCAAACAGG